GACGGGGUUACCCAAAGUGUUCAAUUUUGAACUGUGGUAGGUGAGUAAUGUUCCCUACUAGAAAGGAGAGGGCAAGGCUGGUGCCAGCCGCCGCGGUAAAACCAGCUCUUCAAGUGGUCGGGAUAAUUAUUGGGCUUAAAGUGUCCGUAGCCGGUUUAGUAAGUUCCUGGUAAAAUCGGGUAGCUUAACUAUCUAUAUGCUAGGAAUACUACUAUACUAGAGGGCGGGAGAGGUCUGAGGUACUACAGGGGUAGGGGUGAAAUCUUAUAAUCCUUGUUGGACCACCAGUGGCGAAGGCGUCAGACUGGAACGCGCCUGACGGUGAGGGACGAAAGCCAGGGGAGCGAACCGGAUUAGAUACCCGGGUAGUCCUGGCCGUAAACGAUGCAUACUAGGUGAUGGCACGGCCAUGAGCCGUGUCAGUGCCGUAGGGAAACCGUUAAGUGUGCCGCCUGGGAAGUACGGUCGCAAGG
RNAcentral lists this ribosomal RNA (473 nucleotides) under uncultured archaeon. RNAcentral describes it as "bacterial SSU rRNA". It matches the Rfam family "Archaeal small subunit ribosomal RNA", at positions 369 to 848 of the family's 1478-position model. The record is from RNAcentral.